Molecule: ribosomal RNA, 253 nt
Filed under: uncultured bacterium
Lineage: Bacteria
Description: partial 16S ribosomal RNA
Rfam family: Bacterial small subunit ribosomal RNA
Source: RNAcentral
UACGUAGGCAGCGAGCGUUGUUCGGAAUUACUGGGCGUAAAGGGUGCGUAGGCGGUGCCUCAAGUUUGGUGUGAAAUCUCCCGGCUCAACCGGGAGGGUGCGCCGAAAACUGAGGUGCUCGAGUGUGGGAGAGGUAAGCGGAAUUCCUGGUGUAGCGGUGAAAUGCGUAGAUAUCAGGAGGAACACCGGCGGUGUAGACGGCUUACUGGACCAUAACUGACGCUGAGGCACGAAAGCUAGGGGAGCGAACGGG